RNAcentral lists this transfer RNA (87 nucleotides) under Ancylobacter sp. 3268. RNAcentral describes it as "tRNA-Leu". It matches the Rfam family "tRNA". From Rfam's summary of the family: Transfer RNA (tRNA) molecules are approximately 80 nucleotides in length. Lineage: Bacteria; Pseudomonadati; Pseudomonadota; Alphaproteobacteria; Hyphomicrobiales; Xanthobacteraceae. The record is from RNAcentral.
GCGGACGUGGCGAAACUGGUAGACGCACGAGACUUAAAAUCUUGCGCCCUCAAAGGCUUACGGGUUCGAGUCCCGUCGUCCGCACCA